RNAcentral lists this ribosomal RNA (490 nucleotides) under uncultured bacterium. RNAcentral's name for it is "partial 16S ribosomal RNA". It matches the Rfam family "Bacterial small subunit ribosomal RNA", at positions 30 to 507 of the family's 1533-position model. The record is from RNAcentral.
UGAACGCUGGCGGUAGGCCUAACACAUGCACGUCGAACGGCAGCACAGUAAGAGCUUGCUCUUACGGGUGGCGAGUGGCGGACGGGUGAGGAAUACAUCGGAAUCUACUUUUUCGUGGGGGAUAACGUAGAGAAACUUACGCUAAUACCGCAUACGACCUACGGGUGAAAGCAGGGGAUCUUCGGACCUUGCGCGAUUGAAUGAGCCGAUGUCGGAUUAGCUAGUUGGCGGGGUAAAGGCCCACCAAGGCGACGAUCCGUAGCUGGUCUGAGAGGAUGAUCAGCCACACUGGAACUGAGACACGGUCCAGACUCCUACGGGAGGCAGCAGUGGGGAAUAUUGGACAAUGGGCGCAAGCCUGAUCCAGCCAUACCGCGUGGGUGAAGAAGGCCUUCGGGUUGUAAAGCCCUUUUGUUGGGAAAGAAAAGCAGCAGGUUAAUACCCCGCUGUUCUGACGGUACCCAAAGAAUAAGCACCGGCUAACUUCGUG